AAGACUUCAAACAACUUAAAAUCUCAAAAUCAAAAAAUUAACUCGAACUUUCUCAAAGACACAGAUUACACCCUAGUUUGAACAGAGCCCUUUCUUUAUUAGCUUAUAUAAUGGCGUAUCCUUCCACUUACGGAUCCACCAUAGCUGCUAUAGCCCGAGUUUGCUUGUCAUAAUAGAAAUAAACGAAGGAAGAAAAAAGCUCUCCACUCUUCACCUUUUUCCUCUUCGAGUCUCUCUCUUUGACUGGCCUUUGUGCAAAGAUCUUCCUUUUUUAAACAGUCGCUUUCUUUACUCUCCCUUUCCCUUCUUUCUCUUAAUUGCUAAAGCAGCUUCCACUUCCACUCGGUUUAACCCAUGAUCCAUUUCAACCUGUCACAGUGGAGAGCAAUUUGUAUGGCUAAUUUCUAACUCACCUAUUCUUUUUUGUUUGUGGUUCUCUAGUCUAGGGUUGCAUGAGAUGAGAGACAUGGCUCUUUUUCUUUUUUUUUUUUCAGUUCACAGGUGUUUAUAUAUGUUGUUGUGUUAUUUUGUUUUAAAGCUUUGUGAUUGAUGAUCUGAUAGGUAAGAGAGAGCUUUCUUCAGUCCACUCAUGGGAUGGGGAUGGGGUUUAAUUAGCUGCCGACUCAUUCAUCCAAAUACUGUGUUACAAAACCCAGUAAAUGAGUGAAUGAUGCGGGAGACAAAUUGAAUCCUAAUCUUCCUGUGCUUGGACUGAAGGGAGCUCCCUCCCUCCUUUGCUAUUAUUUUAUUUAAUCCUUUUCAUAAUUUUUUAUUUUUAUUUCCUCACAUCACGAUUUUAUCAACACCCCAAACGCUACUUUCCUCGAGGUUUUUCAUGACAGCCACUGCGAGGUAAUGUUGGAAUAAUAUGAUCAUCAUCCUUAACUUUAACUGUAACUUGUUCGUUUGUUGUUCAUGGACAUUUACAUAGAUAUUCUCAACUUCUUAAUGGCGGUGGCUUCUCAUUCUUUGACCGUACUACGAAAGUAAAGCAUUGUUUUUGCUCUUAAAGGAAAUUAUGCAGCAGUUUCCUCACUCUAGGGCUGAGGUUUCAGCUCUCGAGGACUUGGAGUCCAGAUGUUUUUAGGGUUUUACUGUGAAGCUGCUGUUGCAGACUUUCUUGUUUAAAGCUCCCACCUAAAAAGGCAACCAUAUGGGAGGCGAAGCUCUCAUAAAGGACACGCUCCACGAAAAAAGCCUUCUUGGGUCUUGCUAUCUUACUGCAACAAGUUCCUAGACAUGUCUGAUGUCUCCCCCCAGUUCAUGUGCAAUUACACAAAUAUCCUUUCAGUCGUCUUAAAGUUUUGGGUCCAAGAUUUGCAGAAAUAUGGAAAACUUGUAAUUUGUUCUAAAGCUUAGUUUGUUUUUUUUUUUUUUGUUCAAUUAGCUCCUGGGGUAGCUGGUAAAACCAGUCAGAAGGGCAUAAUCCCAGUUUUGUUUUCCUUGCUGCCCUGAGAAAAACACACAUGCAUUCAACCAGACAUGAUUGAAGCAAUAACAUCAAUGACUGCCGAGAACUCUCAACCAGCUUUUCCUUUGCUAGAGAAGCAGUUGAUGAUAAAAUAUCAGAUUCAAGGAUAACAUUAAAUAUAGGAUUGUGCUGUUUGUAGUUCUCUUGCCUAAAAUGUACUGCGGACUGAGUUGAGCAUACCCACUACGAAUUUUUGCUGUAUGUAUUGAAUCGGAUGCUGAGGUUUCUAGGGCCUAGGGCGAUUGUAACUAUGAUCUGUAUGUAAAGCAAUACUAAAUCGGCCAAGUAGCUAAAUGAAAGGCUGCUGGGAAUUAUUAGCUUUUUUGUUGUGUUAAUGGCUUGCUACAGAAUAUUAAUUUAUAAACUGAAUCCACUGCCUGUGAUGUUCCCUCGUACAGAAAAUGGAAGCUUUUGCAAAAGAAAAUAAAUGGCGAUUACCGGUUAGGUCAUCCCGAAGCUAAUGGACGUACAAAGCAGAUUUCAUCUUCAGUUAGGUCAUGUUUUAGAUGUGUUUAUUUUAUGGUUUUUGUAAGUAAUAAGUUACAAACUAGUCUGCUGAUUGUGCAGUGUUUAUAUUAACUUUCAAAUUGGCUGAGAAAA
This is a long non-coding RNA of Gossypium arboreum, 2071 nucleotides long. RefSeq lists it as uncharacterized. Lineage: Eukaryota; Viridiplantae; Streptophyta; Magnoliopsida; Malvales; Malvaceae. The record is from RefSeq and is a predicted model, not a curated record. The transcript has 2 exons.